AUUUAUAUAUGUACUAGCUGACCCGGCGAACUUCGCAACGCCUAACAGUCAAUGAAUGUCGUGUUACUUUUUAGCUGAACUAAUUUAGGCUUUGAUGAACGUAAAACAAUGAUACAAAAUAAUAUGUUUAUAUAGAUAGAAACAAAAACGUACCAACUUGAUAGCGCGUGAUUUCAUCGUUGGUAUUGGAUGUUUGGAUACCAAAAACCGCCAUGUCGCUCCCUUUCGUGACAUAUUUGCAAAUGUAUUUAAUUGACUUCACCGAAUUGCAAUCACUUGGCAUGCGCCUAAAGCCUAAAUGCAUGAUGUUCAUUAAGCAUUUGCUGUAGAUCUUGGAGAAUUGCUCUCUUCGUAGCUGUGUUAAUCCCUUGACGCCUGUCAAGUUGUUCUUUCAUAUUGAAGAAGAUGCUGUGCAUCUUCUAUAGGUUGCAAUGAUCCAAUGCGAUGGUAAUAGGAUUUUCAUUCAAGCACUUUGUGAUAAACGACAUUCAUUGUUUUUUGGUCAGGCGCAAGAACAAAUAAAGCGGAUGGUUUGCCGACACGUGAGCAUGCCACGUACAAUUGACCAUGAGAAAAACAUUCAUUUUCUAGAUUGAGGCCACAAAUAGUCAAGGAUUAGCCCUGUGAUUUGUUGAUCGUCAUGGCGAAGGCAAGACGAAUCGGGAAUCGUUUAAACUCAAAGGGCAUAUCCGUUGGGAUCAUCGGAAUCCUUGGAAUAAGAACUUCCUCAGCUUUAAAUUUUCCUUUAAGUAUCGACGCUUGAAUCACAUUGCUCAUCAGUUUUCUUAUCGCCAAACGCGUUCCAUUGCACAGUUUUGGUUGGUUUAAAUUUCUAAGCAUGAUGACUACCGAGCCAACUUUAAGUUUUAAAUUGUGCGGUGGUAAACUAGGCACAUCCAAGGAGUUUAAAAAUUCAGUUGGAUAGUUAGUGGCUUCUUCU
This 940-nucleotide long non-coding RNA is filed under the name Drosophila guanche. Lineage: Eukaryota; Metazoa; Arthropoda; Insecta; Diptera; Drosophilidae. The record is from RNAcentral.